GACGAACGCUGGCGGCGUGCCUAAUACAUGCAAGUCGAACGCAGUGGGGCCGGGUGAGUAACACGUGGGUAACCUCCCAUCAAAGGGGAUAACACUUGGUAACAGGUGCUAAACCGAUACUGAUGGAUGGCCCCGCGGUGCAUUAGAUAGUUGGGGCGGUAACGGCUCACAAGGGCCACGAUGCAUAGCCGACCUGGGAGGGUGAUCGGCCACACUGGGACUGAGCCACGGCCCAGCCUCCUACGGGAGGCAGCAGUAGGGAAUCGUCGGCAAUGGACGAAAGUCUGACCGCGCAACGCUGCGUGAGUGAAGAAGGUUUUCGGAUCGUAAAACUUUGUUGUGAGAGAAGCGGUAUCUAACCAGAAAGCCACGGCUAACUACGUGCCAGCAGCCGCGGUAAUUC
RNAcentral lists this ribosomal RNA (403 nucleotides) under uncultured bacterium. Its description in RNAcentral is "partial 16S ribosomal RNA". It matches the Rfam family "Bacterial small subunit ribosomal RNA", at positions 28 to 526 of the family's 1533-position model. The record is from RNAcentral.